RNAcentral lists this ribosomal RNA (460 nucleotides) under uncultured bacterium. Its description in RNAcentral is "partial 16S ribosomal RNA". It matches the Rfam family "Bacterial small subunit ribosomal RNA", at positions 338 to 795 of the family's 1533-position model. The record is from RNAcentral.
CCUACGGGAGGCUGCAGUGAGGAAUAUUGGUCAAUGGACGAGAGUCUGAACCAGCCAAGUAGCGUGAAGGAUGACUGCCCUAUGGGUUGUAAACUUCUUUUAUAUGGGAAUAAAAUGUUCCACGUGUGGGAUUUUGUAUGUACCAUAUGAAUAAGGAUCGGCUAACUCCGUGCCAGCAGCCGCGGUAAUACGGAGGAUCCGAGCGUUAUCCGGAUUUAUUGGGUUUAAAGGGAGCGUAGGUGGAUUGUUAAGUCAGUUGUGAAAGUUUGCGGCUCAACCGUAAAAUUGCAGUUGAAACUGGCAGUCUUGAGUACAGUAGAGGUGGGCGGAAUUCGUGGUGUAGCGGUGAAAUGUUUAGAUAUCACGAAGAACUCCGAUUGCGAAGGCAGUUCACUGGACUGCAACUGACACUGAGGCUCGAAAGUGUGGGUAUCAAACAGGAUUAGAUACCCGUGUAGUC